UACAGAGGUCCCAAGCGUUGUUCGGAUUCACUGGGCGUAAAGGGUGCGUAGGCGGUCGGGUAAGUCUGAUGUGAAAUCUCACAGCUUAACUGUGAAACUGCAUUGGAUACUAUCCGGCUAGAGGAAUGGAGGGGAGACUGGAAUACUGGGUGUAGCAGUGAAAUGCGUAGAUAUCAAGUGGAACACCAGUGGCGAAGGCGAGUCUCUGGACAUUUCCUGACGCUGAGGCACGAAAGCCAGGGGAGCAAACGGG
This 253-nucleotide ribosomal RNA is filed under the name uncultured bacterium. RNAcentral's name for it is "partial 16S ribosomal RNA". It matches the Rfam family "Bacterial small subunit ribosomal RNA", at positions 524 to 776 of the family's 1533-position model. The record is from RNAcentral.